Molecule: unclassified non-coding RNA, 433 nt
Filed under: soil metagenome
Description: partial contains 5.8S ribosomal RNA, internal transcribed spacer 2, and large subunit ribosomal RNA
Rfam family: 5.8S ribosomal RNA (bases 1-120)
Source: RNAcentral
GAUGAAGAACGCAGCGAAAUGCGAUACGUAAUGUGAAUUGCAGAAUUCAGUGAAUCAUCGAAUCUUUGAACGCAUAUUGCGCUCUCUGGUAUUCCGGAGAGCAUGCUUGUUUGAGUAUCAGUAAACACCUCAACUUCCAUAUCUUUUUUGAAAUGGGAGUUGGACUUGAGUGAUCCCAACGCUUUUCCUCACCGAAAAGUGGCGGGUUACUUGAAAUGCAGGUGCAGCUGGACUUUUCUCUGAGCUAUAAGCAUAUCUAUUUAGUCUGCCUAAAAAACAGAUUAUUACCUUUGCUGCAGCUAACAUAAAGGAGAUUAGUUCUUGUGCUGACUGAUGCAGGAUUCACAAAGACAGGCUUUGGCCGACUUUGUAAACUCGAUCUCAAAUCAAGUAAGACUACCCGCUGAACUUAAGCAUAUCAAUAAGCGGAGGA